Molecule: ribosomal RNA, 118 nt
Filed under: uncultured bacterium
Lineage: Bacteria
Description: partial 16S ribosomal RNA
Rfam family: Bacterial small subunit ribosomal RNA
Source: RNAcentral
GUACACACCGCCCGUCACACCAUGAGAGUUGGGGAUACCCGAAGCCUGUGAGCUAACAGUAAUGGAGCAGCAGUCGAAGGUAGAAUCAAUGAUUGGGGUGAAGUCGUAACAAGGUACC